Molecule: long non-coding RNA, 196 nt
Organism: Empidonax traillii (willow flycatcher)
Lineage: Eukaryota; Metazoa; Chordata; Aves; Passeriformes; Tyrannidae
Exons: 3
Source: RefSeq, a predicted model, not a curated record
CACUGCAACAUCACAGGCUGUGUAUUAUUGCUAUGUGUGAAACCUCAGCCAGCAUAAUCCCGACAUGAGGAACUUCCACAUGCUCAGCCACUGGACAAUACUAUGAAAUAAGGAGACGGUAUGAGAACUAGCUAAGGAGAACAGAACAGAGGACAAGAUCCAUUUUAGCUAGUCAUUCGUAUCAAGUAAAUUUAAG